AACGAACGCUGGCGGCAUGCCUAACACAUGCAAGUCGAACGAGACCUUCGGGUCUAGUGGCGCACGGGUGCGUAACGCGUGGGAACCUGCCCUUAGGUUCGGAAUAACUCCCCGAAAGGGGUGCUAAUACCGGAUAAUGUCUUCGGACCAAAGAUUUAUCGCCUCUGGAUGGGCCCGCGUUGGAUUAGCUAGUUGGUAGGGUAAAAGCCUACCAAGGCGACGAUCCAUAGCUGGUCUGAGAGGAUGAUAAGCCACACUGGGACUGAGACACGGCCCAGACUCCUACGGGACGCAGCAGUGGGGAAUAUUGGACAAUGGGCGAAAGCCUGAUCCAGCAAUGCCGCGUGAGUGAUGAAGGCCUUAGGGUUGUAAAGCUCUUUUACCCGGGAUGAUAAUGACAGUACCGGGAGAAUAAGCGCCGGCUAACUACGUG
RNAcentral lists this ribosomal RNA (433 nucleotides) under uncultured bacterium. Its description in RNAcentral is "partial 16S ribosomal RNA". It matches the Rfam family "Bacterial small subunit ribosomal RNA", at positions 29 to 507 of the family's 1533-position model. The record is from RNAcentral.